AGCGAACGUUAGCGGCGGGCCUAACACAUGCAAGUCGAACGCGAAAGGUCUUCGGACUGAGUAGAGUGGCGCACGGGUGAGUAACACGUAGGUAAUCUACCCUUUGGCGGGGGAUAACGUUCCGAAAGGAGCGCUAAUACCGCAUAAGACCACGGAGUCUCCGGACGCUGUGGGAAAAGGUGGCCUCUUCUUGAAAGCUACCACCGAAGGAUGAGCCUGCGUCCCAUCAGCUAGUUGGUAAGGUAAUGGCUUACCAAGGCGAAGACGGGUAGCUGGUUUGAGAGAAUGAUCAGCCACACUGGCACUGGAACACGGCCCAGACUCCUACGGGAGGCAGCAGUGGGGAAUUUUGGACAAUGGGGGAAACCCUGAUCCAGCCAUGCCGCGUGAGCGAUGAAGGCCUUAGGGUUGUAAAGCUCUUUCAGGGGGGAAGAUAAUGACUGUACCCCCAGAAGAAGCCCCGGCUAACUCCGUG
RNAcentral lists this ribosomal RNA (475 nucleotides) under uncultured bacterium. RNAcentral describes it as "bacterial SSU rRNA". It matches the Rfam family "Bacterial small subunit ribosomal RNA", at positions 29 to 507 of the family's 1533-position model. The record is from RNAcentral.